Molecule: non-coding RNA, 313 nt
Organism: Leptonychotes weddellii (Weddell seal)
Lineage: Eukaryota; Metazoa; Chordata; Mammalia; Carnivora; Phocidae
Source: RefSeq, a predicted model, not a curated record
CACCACGUCUGUCUCUAGCGUGAGGUCUCUGUGUGCGCACGCGCAGCCCUCCGUUCCCUCGGCCGGCCGUCUGCUUCCCAGCUGUCCUGCUGAACAAAACCGCGGUUAUUGGCUGAGAAAUGGAUUUUUACUCGACCGACACUUUGGAGCAUCUGAAUGAAUGAAGAAUCGUGAGACCAAGUGAAAAUAGACUGGGGUGUGGCUUGGCAGACAAAUCUAAGCUGGGAAACGUGAAAAUAAAUGAUUUAGUGACCUGGUUGGUCAGUGUUCCUUUGAGUCCUAAAUAAAAUGAAUGCCAACGAAUGGAACCUCA